RNAcentral lists this ribosomal RNA (172 nucleotides) under Escherichia coli. RNAcentral describes it as "partial 16S ribosomal RNA". It matches the Rfam family "Bacterial small subunit ribosomal RNA", at positions 1 to 166 of the family's 1533-position model. The record is from RNAcentral. RNAcentral also lists the same sequence under 2 other names. Lineage: Bacteria; Pseudomonadati; Pseudomonadota; Gammaproteobacteria; Enterobacterales; Enterobacteriaceae.
AAAUUGAAGAGUUUGAUCAUGGCUCAGAUUGAACGCUGGCGGCAGGCCUAACACAUGCAAGUCGAACGGUAACAGGAAGAAGCUUGCUUCUUUGCUGACGAGUGGCGGACGGGUGAGUAAUGUCUGGGAAACUGCCUGAUGGAGGGGGAUAACUACUGGAAACGGUAGCUAA